Molecule: ribosomal RNA, 253 nt
Filed under: uncultured bacterium
Lineage: Bacteria
Description: partial 16S ribosomal RNA
Rfam family: Bacterial small subunit ribosomal RNA
Source: RNAcentral
UACGGAGGGUGCAAGCGUUAUCCGGAUUCACUGGGUUUAAAGGGUGCGUAGGUGGGCAGGUAAGUCAGUGGUGAAAUCCCCGAGCUUAACUUGGGAACUGCCGUUGAUACUAUCUGUCUUGAAUACUGUGGAGGUAAGCGGAAUAUGUCAUGUAGCGGUGAAAUGCUUAGAGAUGACAUAGAACACCAAUUGCGAAGGCAGCUUGCCACACAGUAAUUGACACUGAGGCACGAAAGCGUGGGGAGCAAACAGG